CCUACGGGAGGCAGCAGUGAGGAAUAUUGGUCAAUGGUCGGGAGACUGAACCAGCCAAGCCGCGUGAGGGAGGAAGGUACAGAGUAUCGUAAACCUCUUUUGUCAGGGGACAAAGACUGGGACGCGUCCCCGGAUGAGUGUACCUGAAGAAAAAACGUCGGCUAACUCCGUUCCAGCCGCCGCGGUAAUACGGAGGAUACGGUGGUUAUCCGGAUUUGUUGGGUUUAAAGGGUGCGUAGGCGGGUUGUCAAGUCAGCGGUAAAAUCGUGGAGCGAAACUCCAUCCAGCCGUUGAAACUGAUGAUCUUGAGUGGGCGAGAAGUAUGCGGAAUGCGUGGUGUAGCGGUGAAAUGCAUAGAGAUCACGCAGAACACCGAUUGCGAAGGCAGCAUACCGGCGCCCGACUGACGCUGAAGCACGAAAGCGUGGGUAUCGAACAGGAUUAGAUACCCCAGUAGUC
Molecule: ribosomal RNA, 459 nt
Filed under: uncultured bacterium
Lineage: Bacteria
Description: partial 16S ribosomal RNA
Rfam family: Bacterial small subunit ribosomal RNA
Source: RNAcentral